RNAcentral lists this ribosomal RNA (333 nucleotides) under uncultured bacterium. RNAcentral's name for it is "bacterial SSU rRNA". It matches the Rfam family "Bacterial small subunit ribosomal RNA", at positions 30 to 359 of the family's 1533-position model. The record is from RNAcentral.
AUUGAACGCUGGCGGCGUGCUUAACACAUGCAAGUCGAUCGGUAACAGGUGUAGCAAUACAUGCUGACGAGAGGCGGACGGGUGAGUAAUGCUUGGGGAAUCUGCCUAUUAGUGGGGGACAACCCGGGGGAAACUCGGGCUAAUACCGCAUACGCUCUACGGAGGAAAGCCGGGGACCGCAAGGCCUGGCGCUAAUAGAUGAGCCCAAGUCGGAUUAGCUAGUUGGGUAGGUAACGGCCUACCAAGGCGACAAUCCGUAGCUGGUCUGAGAGGACGACCAGCCACACCGGAACUGAGACACGGUCCGGACUCCUACGGGAGGCAGCAGUGGGG